UCUCUCUCUCUCUCUGACACACACACAGCUUUGGUUAACUGCAACAUCGACAGUAUUGCCUCACAUCAAAAUUGACAAAGCUUACUCUAACACAAGAUCCCGUGCGUGAGUUCAGCCUUUUCGUAAAACUCUCUCUGACUUUAGUUCAACCUAGAUGACCUUGUUUCAGCCCAACAUUCGCCUAACACAACUUUACUUACGUUACAGACAUUACAGACAGCCGUGCUUAAGUCCAACAACCACAUGACCCUGCCUUAAUUUAGUCCAGCAAAGGCAUAAUUCCUCCACUUAUACAAUUCAUAGGAUACAACUCCCAUUAUUCGGCAUCUUUGCAUUGUUACAUAAGUUCAACGCAGGCGGUUUUACCUCAAUCACUCCUAGGAUAGACCUCGCCCUCUUCACCUCCGUAACGCCACAGUUCUGCUCGCUCAUCAGUAUCAUAGAGUUUGCCAAAUGUUCUUCUGUUUGGCUUUUCAGUGUCUAACCGUCCACUAUUUUUUCCAUCCGUACUCUCCUCACUGUGUUAUCGGCAUUCCCAAGAUAACAGCAUGCAACUUUUCCUGCUUACUUAUCAUACUUCUCAGGAUGGACCUCUGUCUACCUUAUCAGACACUUGCGAUCACAUCAAGUACCAUGUGUGUUUUUGUUUUACAUUCUCACAGUGCUGUUCUUUUGUAUUACUAGCUAUCCCCCUUCUUAAAUGGCAGUUUCCUAGACGCGGAUUUAGCAUACUGACGGUCGUUCUCUGCAUAGAUGUAUUGUGAUGAUAAGUGGCCGUGAUGCGUCAUACCCACAUUGUCUUGAGAGAAUGGUGGGCGUGACAAGUGUGCUGAAGGAACAUUGUAACACCCAAGGCACGUACUACAUCCACAGACCAAAUUUGUCCUCCUCGGGCGUGUUAUUUCAUCUGAUGUUGUGAAAUGUACAAGUAUUAUAAGAAAAGGACUAAUUCCAAGCCAGUAGUCGUCGAGUCUAUAUUGUGGGAAAUAGUCGACAAGCCUGAAGUUAGACUCGAAAAGAUAAAGGGUCAUAUUCUUAAACAUUUCGCCCCCCAAGCAUAUACAUUUAACAAGGCUUUCGUUAGAGUUGUGGGCAUUUCCAUGAGUAGUUUUAUGGCCCUGGUGGUAGUUCGACCCUCUGUUGUACCGUGAACGUGAAAAGGACUCAUUGCAACUCGAUCUAUCUUCUUGUCUGCCUUGGAGUAGAGUUGAUGCGGGAGGCGGAAGCAUCUGAGAAUACCAACCUUUAAAGACUAACGCCUCGGAAGCUGCGUCAUCUGCUGCUGAACAGGACCCGUAUUCUCAAACCUUUCGUCGCCCAAGCACACACAUUUGACAAGGUUUUCGUAGGCGCUUUGGGGCAUUUCCAGUGGUAGUUUAAUGGCACUGGUGGUAGUCUGACCCUUCUCCUGUACCAUGAACACACUAAAAGCUCAUGAGGACCCGAUUGAUCUCCUUUUCGGCCUUUGGAAGUAGUUGAUGUGGGAGGUGGAAGCGUUUGAAGAUACCGACCCAGGAAACACUGCCGUCAUUGCCAUCGUCACUCUCGCACCCCCAACAAACCCGCAGCUCCGAGUGAGGGGUUCGGAGAGGGACGCAGCUUUGGCCAACGACUGAACCACACAAGCACCUCACCGACAGUCACUUCCAGGGAUCGAGUAUGGGGACGAGUGCUGUGCUGACGGCGGUGUGGCUGGCGUGGGGGUGUGGCCUUCAGGAUGUGGUCGCCGCCGGAUUCGAUGAACGCCCUCCACAGUACACCACCCACCACCACCACCCUGUGAGCUGCUGUGCCCGUGUUUCGCCAGAAGUCAGCACCAGCCUCCCUCAGCACCACAAAGCCGUAUCAGCCGUACCGUGCGCGCCCAACAGUCCAGCGGUAUGAAGAAGCGUGUUCACCAGGGUUGAGACUUGGCUGUCACUUACUCAAGAAGAGCCAGCGAGGAGAAGGCAAAGCUCCUGCAGCAGUCACGCGUCAGGGCACACGAGCUGGUGAUGGAGAUACAUUUGGUUUUCCAGCUUGUAACAGUCACGAAGUAUUGCUUCAAGCGACGGACUCCACUCAAGGCACAGGCAACAGUGGGGCUUCACCUCCCCCGAGGCUUGACAAGGAGAAUAUGACAGGGGAAAGGAAUCCAUAUCUUGAUGAACAUGAAACCAAGGCUUUUCAAAAUGGUGUCAGAAAUUUAUCUGAAACGGUAAUCGUAAACGACCAGUAUUCAACAAAUGAAACAGACAAACAAUUCAUGAAAUAUAAGGACAAAAUACAGUAUGAGAGUUUGUAUGAGAAUAACUAUUCAGCUGAAUCUGAUGGUACAGGGAAUACUACACACAUUGCCAAUAUUAAAAUUCCCUCAGCACCGAACGUCUUUACUGACAAUGUACAGGACGACAAUACUCUUGACGUUUAUGAAGAUGGCAAUGACUUUACGUCUUCCAAAUCGAAUGUGUUUUACCCUCCACCAAGAAGGCCGAGCCGCGCCAGACACCUUCGGGCUGUGGACGAGCCUUCCACUUCCCUGCGUGAUGGAUCUGAUCUGAGCUGGAAAAACCCUGCUGACGAGUACCACCCAGUCAAGUUGGACCUUGCUUCAGAGAGACAGGUUCACCCGCUGUUCUCCAGUUUCCAGUUUAAAAAAGGUGUCAUGUUUAGCAUUUUCAUUUGGGUUUAUCUCGUGGCCUUCGUGUACGCCAUGUGCUGCAUACUAUCCUCUAUCGUCACCCCGUUUUCUAUACUCGGUGUCAUCGUCAAGGUGUUGUUGGUUCACUACUUCCCGACCAUAGUACGGCUGGAGGUGUUUCGUGCCGUUGAUUAUAUCAUGACUUUCAUCUACAACACUUUUACCUGAGACUCUGUACACUGAUUAUCACUUAUGAAAAGUUUGCCUGAGAACAAAGUAUGCUUCCUUGGUUACACGUAUUGUGGUACUUUACAGAGAUUCUGAAUUUAGAAUUUAAAGAAUUGCUGUGAUAGGAAUUGUCAGAUUAACUGAGUAAUUACUUUCACAUGUUGAAUAAAGAGUUUGGCAUCA
Eriocheir sinensis (Chinese mitten crab) is the source of this 3031-nucleotide RNA transcript. RefSeq lists it as uncharacterized. NCBI's taxonomy places the organism in Eukaryota, Metazoa, Arthropoda, Malacostraca, Decapoda, Varunidae. The record is from RefSeq and is a predicted model, not a curated record. The transcript has 4 exons.